GAUGACACUUGUAUAGUCACGGUUG
This 25-nucleotide microRNA is filed under the name Caenorhabditis brenneri. The record is from RNAcentral. Lineage: Eukaryota; Metazoa; Nematoda; Chromadorea; Rhabditida; Rhabditidae.